Molecule: long non-coding RNA, 342 nt
Filed under: Equus asinus (donkey)
Lineage: Eukaryota; Metazoa; Chordata; Mammalia; Perissodactyla; Equidae
Description: lncRNA (ENSEASG00005035984.1)
Source: RNAcentral
CUUCAUUCCUCCAACCCACUAACAGUUGCUUUAGUGGCACUAGGGCCAAUUAUUAGAUGAGGCCAUUUAUUAGACGAAACAAUGGAAUUGCAUUGGAGUGGAGACUCACUCAAUCUUUGAACGAAGACGUAAGCUGGAAAUGAGAAAGUGGCAUUCCUAAAGAUGGCUGCGUAUUGGUAUAGCAGAAUGUCAGAAGUCCUGUGGAUUCUAACCCAGAACAACUCAAGUGACCUCAGUUCACGAAGACAAAAGAAGAUUUUCGUUUGAUUGUGUCUGGGUGGGUGUUUCGUUCAAGCAAGAACUGAGCAAAAUAAAAGUUGUCUUUAUAAGUCCUCAGUCUAA